GGCGCUGCCAGCGGCGUCCCGCUGCCCCAGCUUCCAUGCAGCGGGGGUGGGGCGGGUCGCCGGUGACGCUAUGACGCACGCCGCAGGAGGGGAGGAAAGAAAGGGAUGGAUGGAACGUCCCCCUGGAUAAGCUCACUGUGGUCCAGGUGAUGCAAGAAGGAAGACUGCUAAAGUGCUAGUGGCAGAAGUCCUGAUCUGAGUUUACCUGAUUGUGACAUAAAAAGAUUAUGAAGUCUUACACCCUGGCUGCGUGGGUGGGAAUCAGUGAAAGGUUUCUUUGCCGCUUUCAGUGCAUAUUUGAAGUCAUAACCAGCAAGUGAUAGAGAGCUUGAUUAAUCCAGGAGGCCUCUGUGUGGUUGCAGAAUUUACUUUUUUCUCGCAAUGAAGAAUAUUUAAGUUACUUUGUGAGUAAAAAUCCGAAUGGAGCUUGCUGUGUCCAUGGGGUCAGAAGAGUAGGGAACACACACUCACUCAGUUUCUACCAGUGUUACUUGCUAGGAUUUUGGGGAUGGGUGGAGGUGGGUGGAGGACUUCAGGCCAGUAUCUGUGAACUAGAUGCUUGUCCCACCUGGCUGGCUAAGGCCAGCAGGGGAGAUAGUGACUCAGUUGGGUGGACACUGUCAACUGACAAUCUUGUUGACUAUAGACUGGCAUUAGUUCUCCAUCUUUAGGAAAGAUUAUUGAGGUGGUGGUUGCAGAGCAAGUAUAGAAAUAUUUGAUGUCUUCCUAUUCCCUUUCUCCUGCUCAAUCUGUAUUUAUACUUGGGUAUGGGACAAAAACUGCUGUAUUUGCACUUGUUGAUGAUUGAUUGGCUGCUCCUGGCUGUGGAUGGAGACAAUGAACCUAACUGCAGUUGGUGUAAGUCAGUGUCACCAGCUGAAGGUAUGAACCAACAAUGCCCUAGUUAGAUUUGCCAGUUGCCUUUGAUACAGCUGAUCACACGGUGUUGUUUACAAAGAUGCAGUCCUUAGUGGGAGUGGAUGCCUUGAAGAGAUUUAACUCCUCCUGUGGAAGUAUGCAGAGGAUGAUUAUGGGCAAUUAUUCAUCCAUCUCAGUAGCUCUCUCAUGUGGGGCAUUAUAGCCAUAAUUCCCAACAUUUGCCAUGCCAGGACACUCCCCCAUCCCCUUUCCAUUUAGCAAUAUGGGAAGGACAGGGCGAGUCAUGACCCUCAGGGUGAAAACUCCUCUGCUAGAGAAGGAAUCUACUCUCUCACUCCUCCUUCAGUGUAUGUAUGAAGCCACUAGGUAGGUUAGUAUGGAAAUACUGGUUAUGGUGUUUAUAGCAUGCAGAUGAUCCCCAACUGUAUAGCCUCAUUAUGGUCAGUCCUGCUGGUGAAGUGGAACAGUUGACCUAAUGCUACUGGAGAUUGUGGCUUGGAUGAGGACUAGCUGCCACGAGUGGUUUCAGGCAACCUCGUACUAUUUUCAGUCGCGCUGUCCUCCAGCAUGGACCCAGCAAUUCUUCACACCACAGUGGUGAUAAGUGCAAGUAUGCACAGGCUGUUUGGACUCUAUUACAGCCCUCAGAGCCAGAUGAAUUCUGCAUUGGACCUUACCCCUCACACCACUGACCAGAUGAUAAAGGAGCAGGACAAUGUUCUUCUAGAGCAGUAGCUCCUACGGCAGCAGGAGGACACUCUGUGGUGGUGGCAACAGCAGGAUGAGGAGGAAGGACAGGAUGAUAUGGAGCUGUUGGAACAAGAUUCCUGGAUCACCUACACAGCAUUCAGCACCAUUGCUGGGCCUGGGAAACCAGUGUGGAUUAGUGGGAGAGGAUUAUUCUGCAGAACUGGGAUGACCUGCAGUGGUGAGAGAACUUCAGGAUGGAGGGGGUACCUGUAUUGAGAUUUUUGCAGAACUGACUUUGGAGUUUCAGCAACAACCUACAACAUGUAGGACCCCAUACCAGGGAGAAACAGGUCACCAGAAUGGUAGCGGAGUGUGUAUUGAGCCGUUUGAAAGGCAGAUGGUGCAGUUUUUGGAAUAGUUUGGAAGCGGCAACAAAAACUUUGCAACCAUUAUAAUUGUAUGUUGUGCUUUUCACAAUACUUGUGAGAGGAGGGGGAAAGCUUUACUGAUGGGUGGGAGGCUGAGGUACAGAGACUUUCUUGGAGGUUCAAGCAGCCAGCAAGGCGACCCACAGAGAACACGAACAUCUGUGUGAAUGCAGUCAGGAAUGCCCACCGUUCGUAUUUUGAGUCUGAUGCCCAAACAUGUUAGACCAUGGAUUGGAAGAGGUGUUUGUUGGGAUGCACACAUUGCAAGCACUGGGGUAUUGCGUGUAGAUGAUUGAAGUUUAUCUUUCCCUAUGUGCUUUUGUAAAACAUUUCAGCUUUAUUUAAAGGAUUGUCUGUGUUAAAUGCAAUGACAACUCAAGGGAUGUACUGUGAACAGUUUUAUUAUGAAACAACAAUAAAAAACAAUGAUAACAUUUUAAU
This is a long non-coding RNA of Chelonia mydas (Green sea turtle), 2438 nucleotides long. RefSeq lists it as uncharacterized. The record is from RefSeq and is a predicted model, not a curated record. NCBI's taxonomy places the organism in Eukaryota, Metazoa, Chordata, Testudines, Cheloniidae. The transcript has 3 exons.